AGUCUUAUAGUUUAAAAAAAACGUUAAAUUGCAAAUUUAAAAUUGAUCUUAAUCUAAGACUU
Molecule: transfer RNA, 62 nt
Filed under: Atkinsoniella heiyuana
Lineage: Eukaryota; Metazoa; Arthropoda; Insecta; Hemiptera; Cicadellidae
Description: tRNA-Cys
Rfam family: tRNA
About the family: Transfer RNA (tRNA) molecules are approximately 80 nucleotides in length. Their secondary structure includes four short double-helical elements and three loops (D, anti-codon, and T loops).
Source: RNAcentral